Molecule: ribosomal RNA, 1230 nt
Filed under: Escherichia coli E110019
Lineage: Bacteria; Pseudomonadati; Pseudomonadota; Gammaproteobacteria; Enterobacterales; Enterobacteriaceae
Description: bacterial LSU rRNA
Rfam family: Bacterial large subunit ribosomal RNA
Source: RNAcentral
CAAAAUGGUGCUGUAACUUCGGGAGAAGGCACGCUGAUACGUAGGUGAAGUCCCUCGCGGAUGGAGCUGAAAUCAGUCGAAGAUACCAGCUGGCUGCAACUGUUUAUUAAAAACACAGCACUGUGCAAACACGAAAGUGGACGUAUACGGUGUGACGCCUGCCCGGUGCCGGAAGGUUAAUUGAUGGGGUCAGCGCAAGCGAAGCUCUUGAUCGAAGCCCCGGUAAACGGCGGCCGUAACUAUAACGGUCCUAAGGUAGCGAAAUUCCUUGUCGGGUAAGUUCCGACCUGCACGAAUGGCGUAAUGAUGGCCAGGCUGUCUCCACCCGAGACUCAGUGAAAUUGAACUCGCUGUGAAGAUGCAGUGUACCCGCGGCAAGACGGAAAGACCCCGUGAACCUUUACUAUAGCUUGACACUGAACAUUGAGCCUUGAUGUGUAGGAUAGGUGGGAGGCUUUGAAGUGUGGACGCCAGUCUGCAUGGAGCCGACCUUGAAAUACCACCCUUUAAUGUUUGAUGUUCUAACGUUGACCCGUAAUCCGGGUUGCGGACAGUGUCUGGUGGGUAGUUUGACUGGGGCGGUCUCCUCCUAAAGAGUAACGGAGGAGCACGAAGGUUGGCUAAUCCUGGUCGGACAUCAGGAGGUUAGUGCAAUGGCAUAAGCCAGCUUGACUGCGAGCGUGACGGCGCGAGCAGGUGCGAAAGCAGGUCAUAGUGAUCCGGUGGUUCUGAAUGGAAGGGCCAUCGCUCAACGGAUAAAAGGUACUCCGGGGAUAACAGGCUGAUACCGCCCAAGAGUUCAUAUCGACGGCGGUGUUUGGCACCUCGAUGUCGGCUCAUCACAUCCUGGGGCUGAAGUAGGUCCCAAGGGUAUGGCUGUUCGCCAUUUAAAGUGGUACGCGAGCUGGGUUUAGAACGUCGUGAGACAGUUCGGUCCCUAUCUGCCGUGGGCGCUGGAGAAUUGAGGGGGGCUGCUCCUAGUACGAGAGGACCGGAGUGGACGCAUCACUGGUGUUCGGGUUGUCAUGCCAAUGGCACUGCCCGGUAGCUAAAUGCGGAAGAGAUAAGUGCUGAAAGCAUCUAAGCACGAAACUUGCCCCGAGAUGAGUUCUCCCUGACUCCUUGAGAGUCCUGAAGGAACGUUGAAGACGACGACGUUGAUAGGCCGGGUGUGUAAGCGCAGCGAUGCGUUGAGCUAACCGGUACUAAUGAACCGUGAGGCUUAACCUU